RNAcentral lists this ribosomal RNA (252 nucleotides) under uncultured Bacteroidales bacterium. Its description in RNAcentral is "partial 16S ribosomal RNA". It matches the Rfam family "Bacterial small subunit ribosomal RNA", at positions 524 to 776 of the family's 1533-position model. Lineage: Bacteria; Pseudomonadati; Bacteroidota; Bacteroidia; Bacteroidales. The record is from RNAcentral.
UACGUAGGGGGCAAGCGUUAUCCGGAUUUACUGGGUGUAAAGGGAGCGUAGACGGUGAGACAAGUCUGAAGUGAAAGCCCGGGGCUCAACCCCGGCCCGCCGUUGAAACUGGCUGGCUUGAGUUGGGGAAAGGCAGGCGGAAUGCGCGGUGUAGCGGUGAAAUGCAUAGAUAUCGCGCAGAACUCCGAUUGCGAAGGCAGCAUGCCGGCUCCACACUGACGCUGAGGCACGAAAGCGUGGGUAUCGAACAGG